Molecule: ribosomal RNA, 314 nt
Filed under: uncultured eukaryote
Lineage: Eukaryota
Description: partial 18S ribosomal RNA
Rfam family: Eukaryotic small subunit ribosomal RNA
Source: RNAcentral
CCCUUAGAUGUUCUGGGCCGCACGCGCGCUACACUGACGAAUGCAACGAGCUUAUAACCUUGGCCGAAAGGUCUGGGUAAUCUCCAAAUUUCGUCGCGAUGGGGAUAGAUUAUUGCAAUUAUUAAUCUUCAACGAGGAAUGCCUAGUAAGCGCAAGUCAUCAGCUUGCGUUGAUUACGUCCCUGCCCUUUGUACACACCGCCCGUCGCUCCUACCGAUUGAAUGGUCCGGUGAAGCCUCCGGAUUGGCGCGCACCUCGGUGCCGCCGAGAAGUUGGCUAAACCUUACCAUUUAGAGGAAGGUGAAGUCGUAACA